CCUACGGGAGGCAGCAGUGGGGAAUAUUGCACAAUGGGGGAAACCCUGAUGCAGCGACGCCGCGUGAGUGAAGAAGUAUUUCGGUAUGUAAAGCUCUAUCAGCAGGGAAGAAAAUGACGGUACCUGAUCAAGAAGCCCUGGCUAACUACGUGCCAGCAGCCGCGGUAAUACGUAGGGGGCAAGCGUUAUCCGGAUUUACUGGGUGUAAAGGGAGCGUAGACGGCAGCACAAGUCUGGAGUGAAAUGCCGGGGCUUAACCCCGGAACUGCUUUGGAAACUGUGCAGCUAGAGUGCAGGAGAGGUAAGUGGAAUUCCUGGUGUAGCGGUGAAAUGCGUAGAUAUUAGGAGGAACACCAGUGGCGAAGGCGGCCUACUGGACUGUAACUGACGUUGAGGCUCGAAAGCGUGGGGAGCAAACAGGAUUAGAUACCCCAGUAGUC
RNAcentral lists this ribosomal RNA (440 nucleotides) under uncultured bacterium. Its description in RNAcentral is "partial 16S ribosomal RNA". It matches the Rfam family "Bacterial small subunit ribosomal RNA", at positions 338 to 795 of the family's 1533-position model. The record is from RNAcentral.